GGCCUCUAAUAACUACGAACGGAAAAAGUUCAUGAAAACUGAUGAAAAUAUUAUCAUCAAAAUACAAAAGGUUAUUGUAGAAUUAUAGUUCAACAAGUCUUGGGGAAUAAUUGGAGAACAUUAAAGAAGACGCAAGCAGAGGUGGAAGCAUGUGAACCAAUCGAUAAUUGAUGCGAUGAAAAUGGGGUGGGUCGAUCCACCACUCGUGCUAAUGCUUCUAUAAUGCUUCGAAUCUCAUUUAUUCGGUCAAAUCAUUUCUUCUCCAACGUCCAACACCCACAUGUGACACGUACCUUAUCAAAGCAUAUCGUAAAACGACCCCGAAAUUAAAGCUAAAAC
RNAcentral lists this long non-coding RNA (339 nucleotides) under Brassica napus (rape). Its description in RNAcentral is "long non-coding RNA (BNAP_LNC011989)". Lineage: Eukaryota; Viridiplantae; Streptophyta; Magnoliopsida; Brassicales; Brassicaceae. The record is from RNAcentral.